This 71-nucleotide transfer RNA is filed under the name Mesocricetus auratus (golden hamster). It matches the Rfam family "tRNA". From Rfam's summary of the family: Transfer RNA (tRNA) molecules are approximately 80 nucleotides in length. Their secondary structure includes four short double-helical elements and three loops (D, anti-codon, and T loops). Lineage: Eukaryota; Metazoa; Chordata; Mammalia; Rodentia; Cricetidae. The record is from Rfam by way of RNAcentral.
GGUGUGUAGUUUAGUGGUAGAACACAUGCUUAGCAUGCAUGGAACCUCGGGUUUGUUCCCCCAACACUCCU